AUAAGACACGACUCGAUGCACUGUGA
This 26-nucleotide non-coding RNA is filed under the name Mus musculus (house mouse). Lineage: Eukaryota; Metazoa; Chordata; Mammalia; Rodentia; Muridae. The record is from RNAcentral.